CAACCCUCACAACCGGCUUUCUUGCUGGAUGUGGUGUUGGGGAUCGGCUGCCUCUCUUCUAGGUGGCCGGCCCCGAAAUAGAGUGGCGGUCUCGUCGUGGCCUCCUCUGCGUAGUAGCAAUAUCUCGCAGGCGGAGAGCGGCGUGGCUAUGCCGUAAAACCCCCCAACUUUUUCAG
Molecule: unclassified non-coding RNA, 176 nt
Filed under: uncultured Acremonium
Lineage: Eukaryota; Fungi; Ascomycota
Description: sequence contains ITS2
Source: RNAcentral